CUUCAUGAAUGAGAGAUUGGACCUGGACUUGGACGAGCGUGAAGCUAAUAGUCAGCGCUACAUAUGCUGCCAAACAUGCUUUUUGUUAAUCUGAGUUCAACAGCCAGGAAAACUGGGGAUUUUGAGUAAUUUGAUUCAAGUGUUACCCUUUGUGAUGACCUCAGGAGUAUCAGAACACUUUUCCAGCUAGAAUGCAGUAAACCCUUCAGAGACAUGCUUGUAAUAUCAUCACUGCAUCAUGGCAUGUAACCUGACAGUAGAAACAUCUCCACUCCAUCUUAGCCAGGGCCAUUUGAAGAAUGACACACACUGAUGGAAGCACACUACUGCUUAUAAUCGAACAGCUUAACAUUAGCUCGGACACUGAAGUGCCUGUAACUGUAACAUAUGCAUAUAUCAGGAACUGCAAUAAACAUCUAUUA
Chiloscyllium plagiosum (whitespotted bambooshark) is the source of this 422-nucleotide non-coding RNA. The record is from RefSeq and is a predicted model, not a curated record. NCBI's taxonomy places the organism in Eukaryota, Metazoa, Chordata, Chondrichthyes, Orectolobiformes, Hemiscylliidae.